GAAAUGCGAUACGUAAUGUGAAUUGCAGAAUUCAGUGAAUCAUCGAGUCUUUGAACGCACAUUGCGCCCCCUGGUAUUCCGGGGGGGCAUGCCUGUCCGAGCGUCAUUGUUGCCCUCAAGCACGGCUUGUGUGUUGGGCCCCCGUCCCCCCCCCAAGGGGACGGGCCCGAAAGGCAGCGGCGGCACCGUGUCCGGUCCUCGAGCGUAUGGGAAGCAACUUUUUGUCACCCGCUCCUGUAGGUCCGGCCGGCGGCCUGCCCAACCCCAACCUUUUUUUCAACCAGGUUGACCUCGGAUCAGGUAGGGAUACCCGCUGAACUUAAGC
Molecule: unclassified non-coding RNA, 325 nt
Filed under: plant metagenome
Description: partial contains 5.8S ribosomal RNA, internal transcribed spacer 2, and large subunit ribosomal RNA
Rfam family: 5.8S ribosomal RNA (bases 1-106)
Source: RNAcentral